RNAcentral lists this transfer-messenger RNA (400 nucleotides) under Bacilli. Its description in RNAcentral is "Enterosoma sp900313465 Standard tmRNA". It matches the Rfam family "transfer-messenger RNA". From Rfam's summary of the family: Bacterial tmRNA, also known as 10Sa RNA or SsrA, is named for its dual tRNA and mRNA-like properties. Its role is to liberate the mRNA from a stalled ribosome. To accomplish this part of the tmRNA is used as a reading frame that ends in a translation stop signal. The record is from RNAcentral. RNAcentral also lists the same sequence under 1 other name. Lineage: Bacteria; Bacillati; Bacillota.
GGGGGUGUUCCGGUUUCGACAGGCUGGAACGACUUUUGAGGGCAGUGGAUUGGUCUCCUUAUCGACCGACACAAUUACAAGUGCCAAUAAACCAGUUAUGUUCCGUGCUCCAGCCAUGAUGGCUGCCUGCGCUGCCUAAUAAUAGGUUAACGCUAUUUUUCUGAGACUAUAGGUCUCUUUGCACGAGUCAGAUGUGAGCUCGCAAGUUCAUAGCACCUGACUUAAAAGAAUUUGCUUCAUAAUCUUGUUUCCUUUCCGAGAUUAUGCGACACAAGGAAGGAUCGGCUGUAGCGAUCUUCGUUCAUGUCAUGCUAUAGCUCAGAAUAGACGUGAAAGAAACUGUGGUUCCUUAUUAGAGAUUCCUGUUUGGACGCGGGUUCAACUCCCGUCACCUCCACCA